This 568-nucleotide ribosomal RNA is filed under the name uncultured bacterium. Its description in RNAcentral is "bacterial SSU rRNA". It matches the Rfam family "Bacterial small subunit ribosomal RNA", at positions 338 to 916 of the family's 1533-position model. The record is from RNAcentral.
CCUACGGGAGGCAGCAGUGGGGAAUAUUGCACAAUGGGCGCAAGCCUGAUGCAGCAACGCCGCGUGAGGGAUGAAGGCCUUCGGGUUGUAAACCUCUUUUAGCAGGGAAGAAGCGAAAGUGACGGUACCUGCAGAAAAAGCACCGGCUAACUACGUGCCAGCAGCCGCGGUAAUACGUAGGGUGCAAGCGUUGUCCGGAAUUAUUGGGCGUAAAGAGCUCGUAGGCGGUUUGUCACGUCUGCUGUGAAAAUCCAAGGCUCAACUUUGGACUUGCAGUGGGUACGGGCAGGCUAGAGUGCGGUAGGGGAGAUGGGAAUUCCUGGUGUAGCGGUGGAAUGCGCAGAUAUCAGGAGGAACACCAAUGGCGAAGGCACAUCUCUGGGCCGUAACUGACGCUGAGGAGCGAAAGCGUGGGGAGCGAACAGGAUUAGAUACCCUGGUAGUCCACGCCGUAAACGGUGGGUGCUAGCUGUGGGCCACAUUCCACGUGGUCCGUGACGAAGUUAACACAUUAAGCACCCCGCCUGGGGAGUACGGCCGCAAGGCUAAAACUCAAAGGAAUUGACGG